RNAcentral lists this unclassified non-coding RNA (147 nucleotides) under soil metagenome. RNAcentral describes it as "partial internal transcribed spacer 1". The record is from RNAcentral.
CCGAGUUUACAACUCCCAAACCCCUGUGAACAUACCACUUGUUGCCUCGGCGGAUCAGCCCGCUCCCGGUAAAACGGGACGGCCCGCCAGAGGACCCCUAAACUCUGUUUCUAUAUGUAACUACUGAGUAAAACCAUAAAUAAAUCA